GGCGAACUGCUCAGUAACACGUCGGUAACCUGCCCUUAGGUUAUGGAUAGCCUCGGGAAACUGAGGGUAAUACAUAAUAGGAGAUUAACCCUGGAAUGAUUUAUCUCCGAAACUCGCGCCUAAGGAUGGGCCGGCGGCGGAUUAGGUGGUUGGCGGGGUAAUGGCCCACCAAGCCGAAGAUCCGUAAGGGCUCUUAGCGGAGAGGCCCUGAGAGGGAAUCUGAGACACUAUUCCCAGCCCUACGGGGUGCAGCAGUUAGGCAUAAUCUGCAAUGCGCGCAAGCGUGACAGUUUGAGCCAGAGUGCUUGUCAAUGACAAGCUUUUGCUAAAUCUAAAAAGUUUGGCGAAUAAGGACUGGGUAAGACGGGUGCCAGCCGCCGCGGUAAUACCCGCGGUCCAAGUCGCAGCCAUCAUUAUUGGGUCUAAAACAUCCGUAGCUCGUUCGGUAAGUUCCUUGUGAAAUCCGGCAUCUCAAGUGUCGGGCGCGCAGGGAGUACUGCCGGGCUAGAGACCGGGAGACGUAAUCAGUACGUUCUAAGUAGUGGUAAAAUACGUUAAUCUAGGACGGACUCACAACAGCGAAGGCAGGUUACGAGAACGGUUCUGACAGUGAGGGAUGAAGGCCAGGGGCGCAAAACGGAUUAGAUACCCGUGUAGUCCUGGCAGUAAACACUGCACACUAAACAUUAGUACCUCCUCGAGAGGUAUUGGUGCUGAAGGGAAAGCCGAAGAGUGUGCUACCUGGGAAGUAUAGUCGCAAGGCCGAAACUCAAAGGAAUUGACGG
This 785-nucleotide ribosomal RNA is filed under the name uncultured archaeon. Its description in RNAcentral is "bacterial SSU rRNA". It matches the Rfam family "Archaeal small subunit ribosomal RNA", at positions 80 to 871 of the family's 1478-position model. The record is from RNAcentral.